This 688-nucleotide ribosomal RNA is filed under the name uncultured bacterium. RNAcentral's name for it is "bacterial SSU rRNA". It matches the Rfam family "Bacterial small subunit ribosomal RNA", at positions 135 to 810 of the family's 1533-position model. The record is from RNAcentral.
AGAGGGGGAUAACACUUGGAAACAGGUGCUAAUACCGCAUAACCAUAGUUACCGCAUGGUAACUAUGUAAAAGGUGGCUAUGCUACCGCUUUUGGAUGGGCCCGCGGCGCAUUAGCUAGUUGGUGGGGUAAAGGCUUACCAAGGCAAUGAUGCGUAGCCGAACUGAGAGGUUGAUCGGCCACAUUGGGACUGAGACACGGCCCAAACUCCUACGGGAGGCAGCAGUAGGGAAUCUUCCACAAUGGGCGAAAGCCUGAUGGAGCAACGCCGCGUGGGUGAAGAAGGUCUUCGGAUCGUAAAACCCUGUUGUUAGAGAAGAAAGUGCGUGAGAGUAACUGUUCACGUUUCGACGGUAUCUAACCAGAAAGCCACGGCUAACUACGUGCCAGCAGCCGCGGUAAUACGUAGGUGGCAAGCGUUAUCCGGAUUUAUUGGGCGUAAAGGGAACGCAGGCGGUCUUUUAAGUCUGAUGUGAAAGCCUUCGGCUUAACCGGAGUAGUGCAUUGGAAACUGGGAGACUUGAGUGCAGAAGAGGAGAGUGGAACUCCAUGUGUAGCGGUGAAAUGCGUAGAUAUAUGGAAGAACACCAGUGGCGAAAGCGGCUCUCUGGUCUGUAACUGACGCUGAGGUUCGAAAGCGUGGGUAGCAAACAGGAUUAGAUACCCUGGUAGUCCACGCCGUAAACGAU